AAUAGAUACCCCGGUAGUCCACGCCGUAAACGAUGGAUACUAGCUGUUUGAGCGCAAGUUUGAGUGGCUAAGCGAAAGUGAUAAGUAUCCCACCUGGGGAGUACGGGCGCAAGCCUGAAACUCAAAGGAAUUGACGGGGGCCCGCACAAGCGGUGGAGCAUGUGGUUUAAUUCGAUGAUACGCGAGGAACCUUACCAGGGCUUAAAUGUAGAUUGACGUAUUUGGAAACAGAUAUUUCUUCGGACAAUUUACAAGGUGCUGCAUGGUUGUCGUCAGCUCGUGCCGUGAGGUGUCAGGUUAAGUCCUAUAACGAGCGCAACCCCUGUUGUUAGUUGCCAGCGAGUAAUGUCGGGAACUCUAGCAAGACUGCCAGUGUAAACUGUGAGGAAGGUGGGGAUGACGUCAAAUCAUCACGGCCCUUACGUCCUGGGCCACACACGUGCUACAAUGGCCGGUACAGAGAGCAGCCACUUAGCGAUAAGGAGCGAAUCUAUAAAAGCCGGUCACAGUUCGGAUCGGAGUCUGCAAC
This 529-nucleotide ribosomal RNA is filed under the name uncultured bacterium. RNAcentral's name for it is "bacterial SSU rRNA". It matches the Rfam family "Bacterial small subunit ribosomal RNA", at positions 777 to 1311 of the family's 1533-position model. The record is from RNAcentral.